UCUACGGGAGGCAGCAGUAGGGAAUCUUCCACAAUGGGCGAAAGCCUGAUGGAGCAACGCCGCGUGAGUGAUGAAGGUUUUCGGAUCGUAAGCCUCUGUCUUCAGGGACGAUAAUGACGGUACCUGAGGAGGAAGCCACGGCUAACUACGUGCCAGCAGCCGCGGUAAUA
RNAcentral lists this ribosomal RNA (170 nucleotides) under uncultured bacterium. RNAcentral describes it as "partial 16S ribosomal RNA". It matches the Rfam family "Bacterial small subunit ribosomal RNA", at positions 338 to 525 of the family's 1533-position model. The record is from RNAcentral.